Paramormyrops kingsleyae is the source of this 2674-nucleotide long non-coding RNA. RefSeq lists it as uncharacterized. NCBI's taxonomy places the organism in Eukaryota, Metazoa, Chordata, Actinopteri, Osteoglossiformes, Mormyridae. The record is from RefSeq and is a predicted model, not a curated record.
GGGAGAACAGAAAUUAAGUUUGUUGUAAAAUGCUGACAAUUGCUCAUAAGGAUAUAACAAUACGGAGGAUUAAUGGAAAAUUAUGUGAGAACUGCUGCAAACUUGCGUGUUUAUGGGAAUCACUCUGCUUUAUUUUUGUAAAAGGAAAAGUUACAUAUUACAUUUAAAUGAACUGGUGCAUAUAAUAAAGAGAAUACUUUAUCCUAAAAAAUAUGUGCAAAGUGAAUUCAGUCAACAUCCAUCCAUCUACCCACCCACCCAUACUCCAUAACAGCUUAUUCAGUGCAGGAUCAUGGGCCUGAAGUCUAUCCCAGGAAAUACAAUGGAGGAGACAUUCUGGAAGAAUUAGGUUCAGUCAACAAUGCAAAUGUGUGUGAAUAAGUACCAAUUUAUCAAAUUAAAGAGUAAGUCCAAAUUUUAAUGGCUCUCUCUCACACAGAGGUAAAAAUCCUAGUCAGUUUGGUCUUAUUCAUGGAGUUUCGUGUAAACCAUGACCUAAAAGGACCUCAGAGGACUUCGGUAGAGAUUGAAGGGUUCAAUUGUUUGGAAAGGUUAAAACCAUUGGAGAAAAACAUUCUGGGAUUUAUCAGUCCACUGCAAGACAAACAAGCCAGAAAUUCAAGACUAUACUCCACUUUCAAAAUUAGCCAACAGAUCAACAAGGAAAAGUGCCAUGCAGGACGUCCAAAGAAACUUCAAGACCGCAAAACAAAGCAACUCUGGGCCUCCCGUAUUGCUGCUGACAGCAAGGCUCAUACCAAAGUAAUAUGACAGAAACUCAAAGGGGUUAGCCAGAAGUUAACCACUAUACUCUUCAGUUUACAAUCAACCAUUUGGAUGACUGAGUAGAUAUUUACAAGAAUGCUUUCUGGACAGAGAAGCCCAAAACUGAUGUCUUUGUCUCUUUGGAUUCAAGCAAAGAUAUCACAGCUGGUGAAAGCUUUAUCAAAUGUGAUGGUGGGAGUGUCCUGCUUUGGGGCUGCUAUGCUAACCUACUGACAACAGCACCGGGGUGAUGAGUAGCUCAGGGGCUUAGGACAGUAGCAUGGCUAGUAGAGUAGAGAUUUCACCAUUGGCACCAUAAGCAAGACUUAACUUCAAAUGCUGACUGACCCUGUUUUCUCAACUACAUGCAGCUUUGGGUAAAAAGUGUCUGCUAAAAACAUAUAAAUGUAAUUUCCCAUUAUGUAGGGAAACUGAAAUAUCCUGGAGGAGAACAUCACGCCCUACGAGCUGAAAUUGUCAGUAAUAGGAACUGUAGCAUGACAGUCAGUCUAAACACUCUGAAAAAAAUCUACCAAAGAAUGGAUUAAAGGCAAGAAAUUGUGUGUCUUUGCAAAUGUUAGGUCAAAGCUCAUACCUCAAAACAACAGAAAUGUUGGAAAGACUCAAAGCAGACUGAGCCCAAGCAUAACGCUGGAACAGAAGAGGAAGAAAGAAAAAAAAAAAUGCUCAGAGAUGCUCAUGUCCGCUCAGUAACUAGAGGAAAUGUUUGGUUUCACGGCAGAUAAAGGAAGUGCAAUAACUCAGAAAUGAAAGGCUCAUUCAUUUCUGUACACUGACCCUUUUGUUACAGAAAUGUUUUGUUUAAUAAAGACAAGAACGACUAUGUUUCUGUUUCAGAUUAUCUUCCUCGACUACUGGGGAUUUUAUAGGAUUUAUGAAAGACGUAUGAAAGAUGAAGUACUUUCAGGAUGGUGACUAACAAACGGAGUUCGUUGAUAGAGCAAAGGUUCACCACCACGCUCACAUCCCUGUCCUGGACUGCUGGCGUCAGGAAGUCCUGCUGCUCCCCUAUUUCAUAGCCCCUAAUUACCGGGUCUGGGUUGGUCAGAACCAACAGGAACCCAGUGCAACGGGUCCAUUUGUUUGAAACCUGUCUGCCCUGUUACGCUACGUUCUCUGUUCCCAUAUUUGGUGGGAGACCAGGAUCUCGGUGGCGCUUAAGGCUGAGAUGGGGGCUCUAUGCGGCUUAAACACCACAUCAGCGAGAACCUCACCAAGAACAGAAAAACAGAACAGUUGAGACGUAGGUUAUCCUUCAGGGUCUUAUUGGAUAAUGCCAAAGGCAAGAAGAGCCGGGUUUGCGGCUGUUGAUGCUUGAAACUGCAUGCAGAGGUGGAGCCUAAAAUAACCUCAAAAGCUGAUGGUAUCCAGGGUGGAGGAUUUGUGAACCUGCAAGCCCCAAGUUUCAUUUUAUAAGCGUAAAGCGAUAUUAGAGAGUGCAACCCAAAUAUGGAAUCCGAAUCCUAACGUACUCCUCUCAGUAUGAGGCCUGUCAUCCCAAACACAGACGGCCUCGGUUGUGAUUGUCUGUGUUACGAUAUUUAGAGUUUUUGAUGGGUAUGUGAUUUUUUGAGGGGUAUGUGAUUUUUUGAUGGGUAUGUGAUUUUUUGAGGGGUAUGUGAUUUUUUGAUGGGUAUGUGAUUGGUUUUAUGCAAGCAGAGGGCUGCUUGUUUACGGCUUACGGAGGAUCAGAUGUCACGUUUUUCACAACACGGCUGUGUUGCAUGCCAAGCUCUCCCUGGUAGCUGGACGGGACGGACUCCCAUGAAAGGUUUAUGCAGCCCUGGCUGUCCAACUUGCCAUCUCCCCCCUGCUCACCUUUUGUGUCUCAGAUUUAACUGUAUUUGACUCUCCCUGCCGGCCCCUGGAUGAUGGGCUCCCCCUUUGA